AUACGUAGGUGGCAAGCGUUGUCCGGAAUUAUUGGGCGUAAAGCGCAUGUAGGCGGUGCCUUAAGUCUGUCGUGAAACUGCGGGGCCUAACCCCGUAUGGCGAUGGAAACUGUGGCACUUGAGUGCAGGAGAGGAAAGGGGAACUCCCAGUGUAGCGGUGAAAUGCGUAGAUAUUGGGAAGAACACCGGUGGCGAAGGCGCCUUUCUGGACUGUGUCUGACGCUGAGAUGCGAAAGCCAGGGUAGCGAACGGGAUUAGAUACCCCGGUAGUCCUGGCCGUAAACGAUGGGUACUAGGUGUGGGAGGUAUCGACCCCUUCCGUGCCGGAGUUAACGCAAUAAGUACCCCGCCUGGGGAGUACGGCCGCAAGGCUUAAACUUAAAUGAAUUGACGGGG
Molecule: ribosomal RNA, 396 nt
Filed under: uncultured bacterium
Lineage: Bacteria
Description: partial 16S ribosomal RNA
Rfam family: Bacterial small subunit ribosomal RNA
Source: RNAcentral